Molecule: transfer RNA, 71 nt
Filed under: Maesaipsyche stengeli
Lineage: Eukaryota; Metazoa; Arthropoda; Insecta; Trichoptera; Hydropsychidae
Description: tRNA-Trp
Source: RNAcentral
AAGACUUUAAGUUAAUCACAAACUAUUAAUCUUCAAAAUUAAUUAUAAAGAACACUAAUCUUUAAAUCUUA